UGGCGGACGGGUGAGUAACGCGUGGAAAACCUGCCGUAUACUGGGGGAUAACACUUAGAAAUAGGUGCUAAUGCCGCAUAAGCGCACAGCUUCGCAUGAAGCGGUGUGAAAAACUCUGGUGGUAUACGAUGGUUCCGCGUCUGAUUAGCUAGUUGGUGGGGUAAUGGCCUACCAAGGCAACGAUCAGUAGCCGGCCUGAGAGGGUGAACGGCCACAUUGGGACUGAGACACGGCCCAAACUCCUACGGAAGGCAGCAG
This 258-nucleotide ribosomal RNA is filed under the name uncultured bacterium. RNAcentral describes it as "partial 16S ribosomal RNA". It matches the Rfam family "Bacterial small subunit ribosomal RNA", at positions 96 to 354 of the family's 1533-position model. The record is from RNAcentral.